GCGGAUAUAGUUUAAUGGUAGAACUUCAGUUUUCCAAACUGAAGGCCCGGGUUCGAUUCCCGGUAUCCGCA
Molecule: transfer RNA, 71 nt
Filed under: Candidatus Vogelbacteria bacterium
Lineage: Bacteria; Candidatus Vogeliibacteriota
Description: tRNA-Gly
Rfam family: tRNA
About the family: Transfer RNA (tRNA) molecules are approximately 80 nucleotides in length.
Source: RNAcentral